AUAUUUUUAAGUAACUAGGCAAAAUAAUUAUAUUCACCUGUUUAACAAAAACAUGUCUUUUUGAUUAUAAUAUAAAGUCAAUUCUGCUCAAUGAGGAAUUAAAUAGCUGCAGUAUUUUGACUGUACAAAGGUAGCAUAAUCAUUUGUCUUUUAAUUAAAGGCUAGAAUGAAUGGAUUAAUGAAAUAUAAACUGUCUCAAUAAUAUAUAAUGAAUUUAAAUUUUAAGUUAAAAUGCUUAAUUUUAUUUAAGGGACGAUAAGACCCUAUAGAAUUUUAUAUAUUAUAAAUUUUUAAAAAUAAAUAAUAUAUUUGAUUGGGAGGAUUUUUAUAUUUAAUUAACUUUAAAAUUUAAUAAAUAUUGAUUUAUAGAAUUUAAGUUGAAAUAUAUUAAUUAUAUUAAAAGAAUAAGUUACCUUAGGGAUAACAGCGUAAUAUUUUUGGAAAGAUCAAAUUGAAAAGAAUGUUUGCGACCUCGAUGUUGAAUUAAAAUUAAUUAUAAAUGUAGAUGUUUAUAAAUUUAGUCUGUUCGACUAUUAAAAUUUUACAUGAUUUGAGUUCAGAUCGACGUGAGUCAGAUUGGUUUUUAUCUUUAAAAAAAUUUAAAAUUUUUGUACGAAAGGACU
Molecule: ribosomal RNA, 623 nt
Filed under: Osmia longicornis
Lineage: Eukaryota; Metazoa; Arthropoda; Insecta; Hymenoptera; Megachilidae
Description: partial 16S ribosomal RNA
Rfam family: Bacterial large subunit ribosomal RNA
Source: RNAcentral